GACGAACGCUGGCGGCGUGCCUAAUACAUGCAAGUCGAACGCUGACGGCGGAGCUUGCUUCUCUGGAUGAGUUGCGACCGGGUGAGUAACGCGUAGGUAACCUGCCUCGUAGCGGGGGAUAACUAUUGGACACGAUAGCUAAUACCGCCUAAGAGUAGAUGUUGCAUGACAUUCGCUUAAAAGAUUCAAUUGCUUCACUACCAGAUGGACCUGAGUUGUAUUAGCUAGUUGUUGGGGUAACGGCUCACCAACGCGACGUUGCCUAGCCGACCAGCGAGGGUGAGCUGCCUAGCUGGGACGGGGACAUGGUCCAGACUCCUGCGGGAGGGAGCAGGAGGGGACCUUUGGCAAUGGACGGAAGGCUGAACGUGCAACGCCGGGUGAGUGACGGAUGUUGUCAGGUCGUAAAGCUCUGUUGUAAGAGAAGGAUGUGUAGGAGAGUGGAACGUGCACACUAUGACGGUACCUGAACAAAAAGGUACGGCUAACUCCGUG
This 495-nucleotide ribosomal RNA is filed under the name uncultured bacterium. RNAcentral's name for it is "partial 16S ribosomal RNA". It matches the Rfam family "Bacterial small subunit ribosomal RNA", at positions 28 to 507 of the family's 1533-position model. The record is from RNAcentral.